RNAcentral lists this ribosomal RNA (406 nucleotides) under uncultured bacterium. Its description in RNAcentral is "partial 16S ribosomal RNA". It matches the Rfam family "Bacterial small subunit ribosomal RNA", at positions 30 to 526 of the family's 1533-position model. The record is from RNAcentral.
AUUGAACGCUGGCGGCAGGCCUAACACAUGCAAGUCGAACGAGUGGCGGACGGGUGAGUAAUGUCUGGGAAAAUUUCUGCUGGAGGGGGAUAACUCCUGGAAACGGUACCUAUUACCGCAUACCAUCAGAUGUGCCCAGAUGGGAUUAGCUUGUUGGUGGGGUAACGGCUCACCAAGGCGCCGAUCCCUAGCUGGUCUGAGAGGAUGACCAACCAAACUGGAACUUGGAAAAGGUCCAGGCUCCGACGGGGGGCAACAGUGGGGAAAAAUGGAAAAAGGGGGCAAACCUGAUGCAGCCAAGCCGCGGUUAUGAAAGAGGCCUUCGGGGUUUUAAGGACUUUCAGCGGGGAGGCGUUGACCGGAGAAGAAGCACCGGCUAACUCCGGGCCAGCAGCCGCGGUAAUAC